Molecule: ribosomal RNA, 253 nt
Filed under: uncultured bacterium
Lineage: Bacteria
Description: partial 16S ribosomal RNA
Rfam family: Bacterial small subunit ribosomal RNA
Source: RNAcentral
UACGUAGGGGGCUAGCGUUGUCCGGAAUCAUUGGGCGUAAAGAGCGUGUAGGCGGCCCGGUAAGUCCGCUGUAAAAGUCAAAGGCUCAACCUUUGAAUGUCAGUGGAUACUGCCGGGCUAGAGUCCGGAAGAGGCGAGUGGAACUCCUGGUGUAGCGGUGGAAUGCGUAGAGAUCGGGAAGAACAUCGGUGGCGAAGGCGGUCUGCUGGGCCGUUGCUGACGCUGAGGCGCGACAGCGUGGGGAGCAAACAGG